CCUACGGGAGGCAGCAGUGAGGAAUAUUGGUCAAUGGACGAGAGUCUGAACCAGCCAAGUAGCGUGAAGGAUGACUGCCCUAUGGGUUGUAAACUUCUUUUAUAUGGGAAUAAAAUGUUCCACGUGUGGGAUUUUGUAUGUACCAUAUGAAUAAGGAUCGGCUAACUCCGUGCCAGCAGCCGCGGUAAUACGGAGGAUCCGAGCGUUAUCCGGAUUUAUUGGGUUUAAAGGGAGCGUAGGUGGAUUGUUAAGUCAGUUGUGAAAGUUUGCGGCUCAACCGUAAAAUUGCAGUUGAAACUGGCAGUCGUGAGUACAGUAGAGGUGGGCGGAAGUCGUGGUGUAGCGGUGAAAUGCUUAGAUAGCACGAAGAACUCCGAUUGCGAAGGCAGCUCACUGGACUGCAACUGACACUGAGGCUCGAAAGUGUGGGUAUCAAACAGGAUUAGAUACCCUGGUAGUC
RNAcentral lists this ribosomal RNA (460 nucleotides) under uncultured bacterium. Its description in RNAcentral is "partial 16S ribosomal RNA". It matches the Rfam family "Bacterial small subunit ribosomal RNA", at positions 338 to 795 of the family's 1533-position model. The record is from RNAcentral.